AAGCAAUGGAGCAGGUCUUCCUCUAAGGAGCCACAUCUAACAUGAGCUCUCAGACAUGGUUGCCACCAAGCCAAGCCAACCACAGAGCAAGCCAGAGACACUUUCCUCCCCAGGAGAACCAGCUGGAGCUCUCCUCUCCUGCUCUUCAGCUCAAGGGUUCCAAUAGAGAUUGUGACAGCAGGAUGGUUUGGCUGACCUCACAGAAAACAAUGCAACAAAAGGGAAAUCAUCAGAGUUCUUGUCCAGGAAACCAGCAGAUGCUGAGAAUAAAGGAGGCAGAGCUGCAAGUCAGGCCUGUUCUGUUGCCCCAAGCUGAGCUAAUCAAUGUGGGGCUUGUACACCCAUGCUCCAGUGUCCAGCCUUAGGUCUGCUGUAAAAUGCUAUUGUACUGACUGCUGUAUCACCCUCUGCUCAUCUACACUGAACAUCUCAACAUUGAAAAAAUAUUUCUGGAAUAAGCACUCUAACAUCUAUGUGUUUGGAAUUGAAGUGAUGUCACUGAUGAGUAAAAGUCAGGAGAGUUCCUCGGGGAUUUGAUGACUGGGUCUGGUGCUUUGGAUUGCAGGCUGGACUGUGUUCAACGAGUCAUUAAAAAAACAAAAACCAAAAGAAAUUGGGAACUCCUGUCAGUUGAUGUUCCUAUCUUCCUUGUGCACAGAUAGACUUCAAAGACUUUCAUCAUGUUACUUCUGAUCCCAUUUACUAGAAUACACUUGUUAUGAAGGCAUGUAGGAAAGCUGAUUACUCUUACUGAAUAAUCAAAUGUCAAGGAUCCUAGUGUUGGUAUUAGUUUUUAUCCAUGAGGCUCACAACAUUUGACCAGCUAGUCUUAUUUGUAUUAGUCAUGAUUGAACAAGUUUAAUAAAAUUCAGUCAGAGGAUCACUUACUCUUAGAACACACUUGCAAACAGAGAAGGAUAUAUUUAUUAGCAUAAUAAUCUACAACCUUCAUUUGAAUAUCAUGAGAUAUGUGUCCUUGAUCCAUUUGGAGGAAACUCAGGUUUCUUAGCAUUAUUCGUUGAUGCUGCUGUCUUUUCUCUAGUGUCAUUUAUUUUUUGGUAUCUUAAUAAAAAUUUGAUUUCAGAUAAUUUUAGGCUUAUAUCUGGAUCCUUAAUUCUAUUCCCUUAAUUUGUAUAUCUAUUUCUGUGAUGGAACCAUGAUGUUUUUAUUAGUAAGUUUGUAUAAUAUAAUUUGAAAUCAGUUAUAGUCAUACCUGUUACAGUAUUCAUCUUGUUCAGAAUAGCCAUGGCUAUUUUAGAUCUUACGUUUUUC
This is a long non-coding RNA of Mus musculus (house mouse), 1272 nucleotides long. RefSeq annotates it as predicted gene 12637. Lineage: Eukaryota; Metazoa; Chordata; Mammalia; Rodentia; Muridae. The transcript has 5 exons. The record is from RefSeq and is a predicted model, not a curated record.